GAAUUAGGAAACAUUCAUGGCAGAAAGCAGUGCUAGAAGGGGUCAAAUUGGGGGUUGUAAUCGGGGAUUACACCGAGCACCGAAAUCACCGCACCGAAAACAAUUAACCCGGCACCAAAUCGAUGAAAAAGCUCCCCGAUCAACGCGGGGCCGAGUCCUUGGUAUUUGGUAUUUGGCGAAUAGGUAGGUCUUCUCGGCAAAAAAAUUGGAUCCGGUGAGUAACGGUUAUUGAGACUUUAUGCCACUGUCUACCCGGGUUUUACGGGGGUAACACCAUUCUGAAACCGGUUCCAUUACCCGUUUUUUAAACCCGGUUAUCCCCGAUUUCCUACCCGAUUACCCGGUUUUACCCACGUAAUUAAGCCAUGUGCUUUCAAUUUCCGCCACUAGAUGGCAUUAAUCGAUCAGGAAACCCACUUUUUGGCUACCCUCCCUUUUUUUUAGUUGACGCCCUCCAAGCCGCUAUUUUUCACAACCUAUUCUCAGUUAGCGACGCUAACCACUGCUGCCGCGGCAACAUGUACUAACUAGGUACUAACUAGGUCGUACGUGUAUCACGGUACCCUAUGCUUAUACACUGUGUACGGAAUACCACCUUCGUUUGUUUGUUUUUUUCGUGCUCAGAAUUGUUUCUUUCCGUCGUCUGCCAUAUUCGGAAUUUUGACGGUAUUAAUUUCAAAUUUUUUGGUGUGGAUUUAAUUCUUUUAAUGGAAGAAGAAAGAAGAAAACUCUACAAUCCUAGAAAAAGGGAAAAAUAUCGUAAAAGUCAAAAGUGCAAAAAAAACAUUCGGACAGAGCCAGAUUCCGACGAGUCUAGUGAAAUGGAAAAAAAAGGAUUGAAACAAAAAAAUUCACCACUGAGAAAGCUGAAAAAUAAGAUGAAGUGCAAAGAAAGCACGAAAAACGUUACAACACUACACUUCGUUGACGAGGAUAACAUAGCAAUUGAAGUCCUAACGGAAAGACUUGAAAUGGUGACAGACAAUCAAAGUAAUUUUAGCCUUUCAAGAGAAGCAGACCCAAUGCCAAAUCAAAAUUACAUUUAUUCAAGACCUGAAGGUUUAAUACAGGAAUUCUACGAAACAGAAAGCCAUGGAUCUAUGGUAGAGGAAAAUAAUAGACCAGAGGGAGUUACUUGCCUGUCUGAAUGGCAAGUAUUCAAUUUCAAUUUCAUAAAAAAAAUGGAAUGAAAUGAGACCAAUUUAUUCUGAAGCUCGCACAAGUACAGAAUGUCCUGAUUUAGAUUGCUGCACUAUUUGCUGUAGCUCUGCAAGCAACUAUGCUGUUUGUUGUAGCACAUGCAAAAGGGAAUUGUGUGUUUCAUGUGACAAAAAUUUUCAUUUAUCACGUCCUUUUCAUCAACGGACUUUUUACAUAAAGGAUACAGUUUCAUCCCGUAUGCUAUUGCCUACAAACUUUGUUGACUGUGAUACCCGUGAAAUCACUGUUCUAAGAAUGAUUCACAUUUUUAAGUUAAAAAUAAACUUUUCUGGCGGACGAUUUACGCAAUAUUGUAUGAAGUUCAAUAUAGGUGGCGUCGAAAGUUUCUACACUACCUUUAUCAACUCGAACAGCUGUUUUACCUACACAAUUGCUUGUAACAUGUAUAAAAUUAACGUUUCUCUAUAAGUAGGUGAGUUUUACACUUUUUAAUUAUCAGUACAAUCCAUUUUAACGUUUACCC
This is a long non-coding RNA of Daphnia magna, 1684 nucleotides long. RefSeq lists it as uncharacterized. NCBI's taxonomy places the organism in Eukaryota, Metazoa, Arthropoda, Branchiopoda, Diplostraca, Daphniidae. The transcript is spliced from 3 exons. The record is from RefSeq and is a predicted model, not a curated record.